GACUUAUUUCUGGUGCAACAUUUAAAGGAAGAUAUGAAAUUGAGUUACCUGGCUUAGGAACUGAUUUCAACUGAUCGCUUAGCUCCUCAAUCUUGAUGGCUUAAAAUUGCAUCAUUUUGUGUGUGGUGUGUGCAUGUGUUCACAUACACUCUGACCUAAACUGUCUCAUGUUUCCAAAACGUGUACAUUUUUCAACUGUCUCAUGUCUCAUUGGCAACUUAUAGUUAUCUGUCCUAUGGAGAAUAGAUCUUUAUGCUUUU
This is a non-coding RNA of Cajanus cajan (pigeon pea), 260 nucleotides long. The record is from RefSeq and is a predicted model, not a curated record. Lineage: Eukaryota; Viridiplantae; Streptophyta; Magnoliopsida; Fabales; Fabaceae.